RNAcentral lists this long non-coding RNA (923 nucleotides) under Mytilus galloprovincialis (Mediterranean mussel). Lineage: Eukaryota; Metazoa; Mollusca; Bivalvia; Mytilida; Mytilidae. The record is from RNAcentral.
AUGUUUGGUAGGUUUUUAUGUUACUGUUAAUUUCUCAUGAACUUUUGAUAUUUCAAAUUUUCUUAAACUGUGCAACACAUUUCAAGAACAAGUUGGUGAUUGUCGGUUAGUGUUCUUCUUUUAUAAAGUUUGUUUGUCUAGCCUGCAAAGAAAUUUGUUUUGAAUAAUUGUUACAUAUCUUGUGAAAGAUAGCCAAAAGAUACCAAAUAGUAAUCCAAAUUCAUAAGGCGAUAAAAAAAUGACAACACCAUGACAAAAAAAAAACAAAAAAACGAACAACAGUUUACAAAACACAUAUAGAAAACAAAAGACUAAGCAACUCUCAACCCACCAUAUACGGGAUGUGAUCUUCCGUUCUCCAGGAGGGUGAGUAGAUUCUCCUCCACUUGUAACACCUGUUGGGUUGCUUUUUGAAUAUGUAGAAAAUUUGUAUUUCACACUUUGUUUUAAAUUGAGUUUUUUCAGUAUAAAUAUAAAAAAGAUGUGGUAUGAUUGCCAUUAAGACAACUGUCCAGAAGAGACCAAAAUUAUACGGAAAUUAACAACUAUAGGUCAAUGUACGGCUUUCAACAAUGAGCAAAGCCCAUACUGUAUAGUCAGCUAUAAAAGGCCCCAUAAUGACAAUGUAAAACAAUUCAAACGAGAAAACAAACAGCCUUAUUUAUAUAUAAAAAAAAUGAAUGAAAAACAAAUAUAUAACACAUAAACAAACGACAACCACUGAAUUACAAGCUCCUGACUUGGGACAGGCAGGCACAUACAUACAUAAUGUGGCAGGGUUCAACAUGUAAGCGGGAUCCCAACCCUCCCUUAACCUGUGACAGUGGAAUAACAGUACAACAUAAGAACGAACUAUAAAAAUCAGUUGAAGUCCAUUCUCAAAAAAGUGUGCAAAAUUCACAUGUAUCCAGGUGUAAUGAUAA